This 603-nucleotide long non-coding RNA is filed under the name Pongo abelii (Sumatran orangutan). Its description in RNAcentral is "lincRNA". The record is from RNAcentral. Lineage: Eukaryota; Metazoa; Chordata; Mammalia; Primates; Hominidae.
ACAGGGGUCAGUGGUGGAAGUGAGACUGAAAUGGACUCUGAAGUAAUAUCUGGACUUUGAAAUUGCAGCUGCUCCCAACCCCAGCAACUUUGCUAUCUUAGAACGGAUCACCAGUGAAAGAGGGGAAGUUGCUACUGUGAUGAAUUCUGCCAUGUGGUACCAGACUGCUGCCCAGACCACAGUGUCCUCUGCAACCCUGCUUCUCAGAUGACCAAGAUGGUGCUGCCGAUGGUGUUGAGGACGGAGAACCCACCAAGCCCCGUUAGGAGCCACCUAGACUGGAUGCAGAGCACAGUUCAGCGACUUCUCCAAACCAGCCUCCCAGGAAUGCUGUUCUCUAUGGCCGUGAGGGGAAUCAAGAAGAGAGCCUGACUCCUCUCCUGAGGUCCCUUCCACACCCUGAGCCAGCAGGAUCCACGGAGCAGAGGUCAUCUGCCCGCAACUUGGCCCACUGAGGCCAGCAUGGCUGGGCCCAGGAUGCUUGUCUCUCAGCUCCCAUCCUGUGUGCUUCCACAUUGGUUUAACCAGAGCAAAACUGACAUCUACAAUUGUCAUGAACAUAUUUAAAUGUGCAUAGAAUCAGCCAUACAAAUUAUGAACAUA